Molecule: ribosomal RNA, 2618 nt
Filed under: Escherichia coli
Lineage: Bacteria; Pseudomonadati; Pseudomonadota; Gammaproteobacteria; Enterobacterales; Enterobacteriaceae
Description: bacterial LSU rRNA
Rfam family: Bacterial large subunit ribosomal RNA
Source: RNAcentral
AAGCGUCUGGAAAGGCGCGCGAUACAGGGUGACAGCCCCGUACACAAAAAUGCACAUAUUGUGAGCUCGAUGAGUAGGGCGGGACACGUGGUAUCCUGUCUGAAUAUGGGGGGACCAUCCUCCAAGGCUAAAUACUCCUGACUGACCGAUAGUGAACCAGUACCGUGAGGGAAAGGCGAAAAGAACCCCGGCGAGGGGAGUGAAAAAGAACCUGAAACCGUGUACGUACAAGCAGUGGGAGCCUCUUAAUGGGGUGACUGCGUACCUUUUGUAUAAUGGGUCAGCGACUUAUAUUCUGUAGCAAGGUUAACCGAAUAGGGGAGCCGAAGGGAAACCGAGUCUUAACUGGGCGUUAAGUUGCAGGGUAUAGACCCGAAACCCGGUGAUCUAGCCAUGGGCAGGUUGAAGGUUGGGUAACACUAACUGGAGGACCGAACCGACUAAUGUUGAAAAAUUAGCGGAUGACUUGUGGCUGGGGGUGAAAGGCCAAUCAAACCGGGAGAUAGCUGGUUCUCCCCGAAAGCUAUUUAGGUAGCGCCUCGUGAAUUCAUCUCCGGGGGUAGAGCACUGUUUCGGCAAGGGGGUCAUCCCGACUUACCAACCCGAUGCAAACUGCGAAUACCGGAGAAUGUUAUCACGGGAGACACACGGCGGGUGCUAACGUCCGUCGUGAAGAGGGAAACAACCCAGACCGCCAGCUAAGGUCCCAAAGUCAUGGUUAAGUGGGAAACGAUGUGGGAAGGCCCAGACAGCCAGGAUGUUGGCUUAGAAGCAGCCAUCAUUUAAAGAAAGCGUAAUAGCUCACUGGUCGAGUCGGCCUGCGCGGAAGAUGUAACGGGGCUAAACCAUGCACCGAAGCUGCGGCAGCGACACUAUGUGUUGUUGGGUAGGGGAGCGUUCUGUAAGCCUGUGAAGGUGUACUGUGAGGUAUGCUGGAGGUAUCAGAAGUGCGAAUGCUGACAUAAGUAACGAUAAAGCGGGUGAAAAGCCCGCUCGCCGGAAGACCAAGGGUUCCUGUCCAACGUUAAUCGGGGCAGGGUGAGUCGACCCCUAAGGCGAGGCCGAAAGGCGUAGUCGAUGGGAAACAGGUUAAUAUUCCUGUACUUGGUGUUACUGCGAAGGGGGGACGGAGAAGGCUAUGUUGGCCGGGCGACGGUUGUCCCGGUUUAAGCGUGUAGGCUGGUUUUCCAGGCAAAUCCGGAAAAUCAAGGCUGAGGCGUGAUGACGAGGCACUACGGUGCUGAAGCGACAAAUGCCCUGCUUCCAGGAAAAGCCUCUAAGCAUCAGGUAACAUCAAAUCGUACCCCAAACCGACACAGGUGGUCAGGUAGAGAAUACCAAGGCGCUUGAGAGAACUCGGGUGAAGGAACUAGGCAAAAUGGUGCCGUAACUUCGGGAGAAGGCACGCUGAUAUGUAGGUGAAGCGACUUGCUCGUGGAGCUGAAAUCAGUCGAAGAUACCAGCUGGCUGCAACUGUUUAUUAAAAACACAGCACUGUGCAAACACGAAAGUGGACGUAUACGGUGUGACGCCUGCCCGGUGCCGGAAGGUUAAUUGAUGGGGUUAGCGGUAACGCGAAGCUCUUGAUCGAAGCCCCGGUAAACGGCGGCCGUAACUAUAACGGUCCUAAGGUAGCGAAAUUCCUUGUCGGGUAAGUUCCGACCUGCACGAAUGGCGUAAUGAUGGCCAGGCUGUCUCCACCCGAGACUCAGUGAAAUUGAACUCGCUGUGAAGAUGCAGUGUACCCGCGGCAAGACGGAAAGACCCCGUGAACCUUUACUAUAGCUUGACACUGAACAUUGAGCCUUGAUGUGUAGGAUAGGUGGGAGGCUUUGAAGUGUGGACGCCAGUCUGCAUGGAGCCGACCUUGAAAUACCACCCUUUAAUGUUUGAUGUUCUAACGUGGGCCCCUUACCGGGGUUGCGGACAGUGUCUGGUGGGUAGUUUGACUGGGGCGGUCUCCUCCUAAAGAGUAACGGAGGAGCACGAAGGUUGGCUAAUCCUGGUCGGACAUCAGGAGGUUAGUGCAAUGGCAUAAGCCAGCUUGACUGCGAGCGUGACGGCGCGAGCAGGUGCGAAAGCAGGUCAUAGUGAUCCGGUGGUUCUGAAUGGAAGGGCCAUCGCUCAACGGAUAAAAGGUACUCCGGGGAUAACAGGCUGAUACCGCCCAAGAGUUCAUAUCGACGGCGGUGUUUGGCACCUCGAUGUCGGCUCAUCACAUCCUGGGGCUGAAGUAGGUCCCAAGGGUAUGGCUGUUCGCCAUUUAAAGUGGUACGCGAGCUGGGUUUAGAACGUCGUGAGACAGUUCGGUCCCUAUCUGCCGUGGGCGCUGGAGAACUGAGGGGGGCUGCUCCUAGUACGAGAGGACCGGAGUGGACGCAUCACUGGUGUUCGGGUUGUCAUGCCAAUGGCACUGCCCGGUAGCUAAAUGCGGAAGAGAUAAGUGCUGAAAGCAUCUAAGCACGAAACUUGCCCCGAGAUGAGUUCUCCCUGACUCCUUGAGAGUCCUGAAGGAACGUUGAAGACGACGACGUUGAUAGGCCGGGUGUGUAAGCGCAGCGAUGCGUUGAGCUAACCGGUACUAAUGAACCGUGAGGCUUAACCUUACAACGCCGAAG